Molecule: long non-coding RNA, 281 nt
Organism: Oreochromis aureus
Lineage: Eukaryota; Metazoa; Chordata; Actinopteri; Cichliformes; Cichlidae
Exons: 3
Source: RefSeq, a predicted model, not a curated record
AUAGAUGGGAGUCACAUUCCCAUCACUGCUCCUGAGAACAAUCACUGUGAUUAUUUUAACCGCAAAGGCUGGCACUCUGUCAUCCUUCAGGGCGUCGUUGACCAUCAAUUCUGUUUCACUAACAUCUACACUGGAUGGCCAGGAAGCGUUCACGAUGCCAGGGUUCUCAAGAAUUCUGAGAUAUACACAAUGGCAGAGAGAGGGGAGCUAUUUCCACCAGUUACAGAAGAAAUCAUGGGUGUUGAAGUUCCAGUCAUGCUGCUCGGUGACCCUGCAUAUCC